UGUGAAAAGGCCAGAUUUAGAACUGUCCAGAAGGGGAUGUGGAGUGUUGUUAUUUCUCCAUAUGAGAAAAGAUAUAUUGAUGUGAGAUUCAGAGAUGAAAUACUACGUUUCGUGGUAGCUGCUCUUGAAGAAGCAAUUGGCGACUUGUGUGUCUGACACUGGGAUUCAUACUAUUGUUGUUGGCUCCUAUUAGUAGCAGUUGGGUUCCAUUUUAUCACAGCAGUUCCAUGGCUCUAGGAGUCUUGUUAUCAUAAUCCUUCUUUUUCAGUGCUGGGCAUGAAAUUGUUGCCAACCGGAAGAAAAAAAUGUCUUUUGCCUUGCCAUGCCAUAUCUGGAUUGGUGGUGCUGAUGUUAUUACUACAAGUCGUUUCAGCUUGAAGCUGGGUCUUUCCUUUUGCUCCACUUCUCUGUCUUAAAUUCAAUACUUUAGAGUUCUGGCCUGAGUGAAGAGAUACACAACCCACUUUUGCACUAGUGGGGAUUAUCCUGGCUGGAGCUGCGUUUGGCUAUAAGAUUGUUAGGAGAUUUGUUAUUUCAAAGGAUGGUGGUGUGGACUCUAGCGCAAUGCCCAUAU
Molecule: long non-coding RNA, 574 nt
Organism: Neltuma alba
Lineage: Eukaryota; Viridiplantae; Streptophyta; Magnoliopsida; Fabales; Fabaceae
Exons: 5
Source: RefSeq, a predicted model, not a curated record